This 533-nucleotide ribosomal RNA is filed under the name uncultured bacterium. RNAcentral describes it as "bacterial SSU rRNA". It matches the Rfam family "Bacterial small subunit ribosomal RNA", at positions 1 to 542 of the family's 1533-position model. The record is from RNAcentral.
AUCCGCGGCCGCUGCAGAGUUUGAUCCUGGUCAGGACGAACGCUGGCGGCGUGCCUAACACAUGCAAGUCGAGCGGGGAAUGCAGCAAUGUAUUCCUAGCGGCGGACGGGUGAGUAACGCGUGGGCAACCUGCCCUGCACAGGGGGAUAACACAGGGAAACUUUUGCUAGUACCGCAUAACAUACUUAUAUGGCAUCAUAUAGGUAUCAAAGGAGCAAUCCGGUGCAGGAUGGGCCCGCGUCCGAUUAGCUAGUUGGUAGGGUAACGGCCUACCAAGGCGACGAUCGGUAGCCGAACUUAGAGGUUGGUCGGCCACAUUUGGACUUAGACGCGGCCCAGACUUCUACGGGAGGCAGCAGUGGGGAAUAUUUCGCAAUGGGGGGAACCCUGUACGCAGCAACGCCGCGUGGAGGAAGAAGGUCUUCGGAUUUUAAACUUCUUUUAUGAGGGACGAAGGAAGUGACGGUACCUUAGGAACAAGCCACGGCUAACUACGUGCCAGCAGCCGCGGUAAUACGGAGGUGGCGAGCGUU